UAGAUAGAUAGAUAGAUAGAUAGAUAGAUAGAUAGAUAGAUAGAUAGAUAGACAGAAUUAAUGUGAGAGAGAGAUAGAAAGUCUUUGUGAGAUAGACAGUGACCUCAUCGAAGAGUCUAUCAGUAUUUAAGUUUGUCCUCGCCUGGCAACGCUGGCUGUGUCCCAGCCUUAUUUCCUUGCCAGAGGGAAAACCUCAGUCUGAACCCCAUCGGCAGCACUGCCAUGGAUCUGAUCUAUUCACUGUCGCCUUCCAUUAAGAUGAGAGAGCGAACAGGGUGUAGGCACACCCAUGCCAGGAAGCCUGUCUUACCCCAAAGAGCCCACAUCAUUGUUUAUUCAGCUUGAGCGCAUCAUAUCUUGGCAGCCAGGGUGAGAGUGAACAGACAUUCAACAUUUUAGAUCGUAAGAACAUAAUCAUAACAUAGCUUCAAGUGGCGGCCCACUUAAGUACAAGGACUAAAGAAAAUGGCCGUCACUUUAAUGCCCCUAGACACAGGCGAAAAAUAGUAGGAAUUCUCGUUGUCUGCUUCAUUCUGGAGAAGAUGAACGGUAAACCUUGUGCUGCAUUCAUGGAUCCACUAAGGCUGAUUUUUUUUAAUUUUUUUUUUUUCCCCCUUCAUCAAAACAAAAGAAUGCCUCCGUCUAUUGACCGUGAAAAGAUGUUCAUAGAUUUGUCCCCAGUGAAGAGAUGUCUUUGUUGGUUAUCUCCAUUGGUGAGCCGCCUCCAUUUGGCUCAGCCUAAUCAGAACACAAACACGCCUCUGUCAUUUGGCUGCUCUCCCUCCUCUCCCCCUGCUGCCCCCCCUCUCUCUCACUCUUAUUAGCCAACACUACAAAUUAGAUUUCUAUUUUCUCUCAUCUCAACUCAUUCUCACUUCUAUUUUUUGUAUCCCCUCUCCUCCUUACGCUUGUUUAUUAGUGCAGCGGAGAGAAAUUCACACCGUACUGAUAUCCCCUCCUUCCACCUUUGCCUCUGAUUUGUUUUCUUUCUUUCAUCUUCUUUCUUUCUAAUCUGCUCAUCUAGAUGGUGUGGAGCUCUCCCUCGGGCACAGACACUGAGGCCUGGCAUACAUUUUCUUUGCUUGUCUGUGCAAAGCCUGGUUUCGGUUGCCGGAGGGGAAGUGUUGCAAAUGUAAAGAGAAUCCCUGAGGGAGAAGACUUGUGCUGGAUUCCUGGUGAAUACAAGGUUUCCUCUCGCUUCUCCAGUUUCCAACCACCCUGAAAACAAGCAUAUUAGGAAAUAUGAACACUCAGACCAUUGCUCUGAACUCCUACUUGCCGCAGAACUGGAAUUGGUCCCCAGCCUCUGUACUGCAGCUGCCCGCUGCUUCUAAAAUAGCGUGUACAUAUGGAAACAGGGACAUGCCUCAUCACAAUCAGUCUACCAGGAGCCACUCCGUCCAGCAGAACCCAGGAACAUUUUCAUUGAAUACAGAUGCACCCUUUGAGAGAGCAGAAGACAAGUUGGCCGCAAAUGUGGCUGAGUGUGCAUUGAAGUGUUUGUACUCACAAGAGAGAAUGUUGCUGAACAAAAGAACAAAGGAAAUGUGCAGAAGCCACAGCGGCCUGGUCCCCGUGGCAGACUGAUCACUAUGGCGAGUAUGGCUGAGGGUUUCAGCGGGGAAUUGGGUGCAGAAAACAGGCCCUUGUAUGGUGAAAUCAUGCAGACCCUCAUUCCUCUGGUCUUACGGAAGACUAUUUUGGGGCAUUUUGAACUCUCCCACGCAAGCACAACAAUUUUGGGGUUAGUUCAUUUAUUUAUCUUUUAUGUUUUCCAUCUAAUGAAACCCAAGAGAGGGACGCGUAUAGUUGUUUUUGGCCUUCAAGUGAGGGAGAAAAGGAGGAGGGGUGUGAGUGUGUCUGCGUGCCUGAGUUUGUGACUGUAGCCAGAACAAUCACUGCAUUCGGCACUUUUGAGCCUUACUCCAAAGCACAACUGCAGCUAUGACUCAACUUUCAUAUCUAAAACCUAUUGCAAAAGGUGUGUCUGUUCUGCAACACCACUGAGACUAACCCUGAUGGUGUAACUGAGUUUCUAGCUCUGCGCUGGCCGAAGCUGUAUGUUGCUGUGAUUUAUGGUUAUUCUCAUAUACAGAG
Molecule: long non-coding RNA, 2097 nt
Organism: Acanthopagrus latus (yellowfin seabream)
Lineage: Eukaryota; Metazoa; Chordata; Actinopteri; Spariformes; Sparidae
Exons: 3
Source: RefSeq, a predicted model, not a curated record